AUCCCAGUAUAACCCAGUAUAUCCCAGUAUAACCCAGUACAUCACAGUAUAUCCCAGUAUAACCCAGUAUAUCCCAGUAUAUCCCAGUAUAUCCCGGUAUAACACAGUUCAUCCCAGUAUAUCCCAGUACAUCCCAGUAUAACGCAAUACAUCCCAGUAUAACCCAGUAUAUCCCAGUACAUCCCAGUAUAACGCAAUACAUCCCAGUUUAGCCCAGUAUAACCCAGUACAUCCCAGUAUAACCCAAUACAUCCCAGUACAUCCCAGUAUAACCCAGUAUAUCCCAGUAUAACCCAGCACCCCCCAGUCCAAACAUCCACCCUCCCAGUCCUUCCUGGUUAGCCCACAUUCCCUCCCAGUUUCCUCCCAGUCCAUCCCAGUUUCCCCUUAUUCUCUCCCAGUUUCCCAGUCUCCAUAGAACAACACUCCCAGUCCCUCCCAGUUCCUCCCAGUCCCUCCCAGUUCCCCCAUUCCCCCAUUUCCCCUCCCAGUUUCCACAUAUCCCCUCCCAGUCCCUCCCAGUCUCCCAUCCCAGUGCUUCCAGUCCCUCCCAGUCUCCAUAUAGACACUCCCAGUCCCUUCCAGUUUCCUCCCAUUCCCUCCCAGUCCCUCCCAGUUCCUCCCAGUCUCUCCAUAUCUCCUCCCAGUCCCUCCCAGUUUCUUCAUAUCCCCUCCCAGUCUCCCUAUAGAUAAUCCCAGUCCCUCCCAGUUUCCCCCGAAUCCCUUCCAGUUUCCUCCCAGUUUCCUCCCAGUCCCUCCCAGUUCCCCCAUUCCCCCAUUUCCCCUCCCAGUUUCCCCAUAUCCCCUCCCAGUCCCUCCCAGUUUCCCUAUACACACUCCCAGUCCCUCCCAGUUUCCUCCCAGUCCAUCCCAGUCUCCCUAUACACACUCCCAGUCCCUCCCAGUCUCCCAUCCCAGUACUUCCAGUCCCUCCCAGUUUCCCUAUCGACACUCCCAGUCCCUCCCAUUCCCUCCCAGUCCCUCCCAGUUUCCUCCCAGUCCCUCCCAGUUUCUUCAUAUCCCCUCCCUAUAGAUAAUCCCAGUCCCUCCCAGUUUCCCACUAACUCCUCCCAGUUUCCUCCCAGUCCCUCCCAGUCUCCCUAUACACACUCCCAGUCCCUUCCAGUCCCACCCAGUUUCCCUAUACACACUCCCAGUCACUCCCAGUUUCCUCCCAGUCCCUCCCAGUCUCCAUAUAGACACUCCCAGUCCCUCCCAGUAUCCCCAUAUC
RNAcentral lists this long non-coding RNA (1231 nucleotides) under Coturnix japonica (Japanese quail). Its description in RNAcentral is "lncRNA (ENSCJPG00005006359.1)". The record is from RNAcentral. Lineage: Eukaryota; Metazoa; Chordata; Aves; Galliformes; Phasianidae.